Molecule: non-coding RNA, 1566 nt
Organism: Phoenix dactylifera (date palm)
Lineage: Eukaryota; Viridiplantae; Streptophyta; Magnoliopsida; Arecales; Arecaceae
Source: RefSeq, a predicted model, not a curated record
AGGAGAUCUAGGCACUCCCGGUAAUCUUACCUUCCCUUCCCUCAUCUCUCCGUACCCGAGAGCCGGACCCAAAGUGGAUUCGAAAAUAGAGGGAAGAAGGAAGAGGAGAAGAAGAGAGAAGGGGAAGCGAAGCAACGCCAAGCUCUGCGAGGUCUGUGACCUUGGCGAAGAGAACCCCAAGGUCUAUCCUUUCCUGUCCCUAUUCGCAGCAGCAUUUCGUUCGAUCAACUGGCAACCUUGUAUUAUUUAAAGAACCCGAUGGAAUUGGAGUUAAAACUCGAGAAAGUUUGGAUCUUUUCGAUUCUUUUAGGGUCUCGUCUGAGGGUUUGAUCGAAGUAAUCCACUCUUUUAUCCAUUUUGUUAUCUGUGUAGGUUUCGCUUUGUUUUCCUUACUGAAAUGAGUUGCUGUUCAAUUCAAGACGUCUCGGGUGCUGCUAAUUGGUCACAGGUUUGUCCUUCGGUGGUCUUCUUGACGGAAGACUUUCUGAUGUUGCAUCUGGUUGUGAGUCGUGGGGAAAAUGGCUGAAAGGCAAAGUCAGAUAGCAGUAAGUUGGGUUCUCUUUCUGCUCUUCCCUUCACUUCUUCGGCCUACUCUGAUGGGGGCAAACAGCAAAAGAUGGGCAACAUGGAUGCUUUCCCCAAUGCUUUUCUUCCAGAAUAACAAAAGGUCUUUGCUGGAUUCGAUCGUGCAAAGAUAUAACACGAGGCAUCACUUUCAAGCAGUUUGGCUUGCUUUGAUGCGGUCCAAAAUUGGAGCUAUUUGUUGCUUCAUCGAACCUUCAUGGCGAUUAUUUCCAUAUCAAAGUUAAUAGUUUAAUUAAAGUUGAACCAAGAAGGUUGAUUCUGGAGGAGGGUUAUGGAGUACCAGCUUUCUUCUUCAAAGACUUUAUUAGGUGUCCAACUUUCUAGCCUCAUUGACCCUGGGCUCUUGUCAUUAUUGCCCCCUAUUCCAUGGCAUCUUAUGAAAUGGCAUAUAUUUGUGCAAGUUGGUAGAUUAAAUAUUCAGCAACUGAGCUCAUCUGUAAUCCACUGAGUCCUGGUAUGCUAUUAAGCAAUUAACAAGUGAUCAUGCUGAUGAUCAAGUGUAACUGAGGAACUGCCAAUUGUUUUGUACUCGACAACGUAGUUAUCAAUAACUUUGCUCCAAGAUAUUUUAGUUUCAAAGAUAGAGGUGGAAAUGCGUGGGGCCAAUCUACGUGUAUAAUAUCGGGUGUGCUCCGAGCCACAAGGUUUACCUGUUGAUGGUGUUGUAAUCAGAAUGUAGGGUAUGUAAUCCGACAGAGAUGAACACAAUUUCCUGUAUGAGAUGUUUUGAAGCUUAGAUAGCAUGUAUUUGUUUUUUUUUUUUUUCCUUUUCCCUUCUCAAGUCUUGAUAUCCUUGAAGGUUGGUCUUCUUUGUAAUCCUUGAAGGUUGACAGGAUUUCAUCUCCAUCAGUUGGAUUUCAAGAUUCCAAAGCAGGCCUCAAAGUUGUCUUGGCAAUGCACAACAUCCAUGUAUUGCCAUUGUGCAAUUAAAAUGUAAGCCAGCUGUAAAAUUGACAUGUUUACAGAUCAUAUUUGAUGUGA